Molecule: non-coding RNA, 128 nt
Filed under: Streptomyces nanshensis
Lineage: Bacteria; Bacillati; Actinomycetota; Actinomycetes; Kitasatosporales; Streptomycetaceae
Source: RNAcentral
AUCAGGAAGCCGGUGGGAAUCCGGCACGGUCCCGCCACUGUGACCGGGGAGCGGACCCCAGCGAGGCCACGGCCCGACGUACGGGCUGGAAGGCAGGGGUGAGCGGUGAUCCGGGAGUCAGGAGACUG